GAUCAACGCUGGCGGCGUGCUUAACACAUGCGAGUCGAACGAAGUUUUUCUUUCGGGAGGAACUUAGUGGCGGACGGGUGAGUAACGCGUGGGUAACCUGCCCUGUACAGGGGGACAACAGCUGGAAACGGCUGCUAAUACCGCAUAAGCCCUUAGCACUGCAUGGUGCAUAGGGAAAAGGAGCAAUCCGGUACAGGAUGGACCCGCGUCUGAUUAGCCAGUUGGCAGGGUAACGGCCUACCAAAGCGACGAUCAGUAGCCGAUCUGAGAGGAUGUACGGCCACAUUGGGACUGAGACACGGCCCAGACUCCUACGGGAGGCAGCAGUGGGGAAUAUUGCACAAUGGAGGAAACUCUGAUGCAGCGACGCCGCGUGAGUGAAGAAGUAUUUCGGUAUGUAAAGCUCUAUCAGCAGGAAAGAAAAUGACGGUACCUGACUAAGAAGCACCGGCUAAAUACGUG
This 462-nucleotide ribosomal RNA is filed under the name uncultured bacterium. RNAcentral describes it as "partial 16S ribosomal RNA". It matches the Rfam family "Bacterial small subunit ribosomal RNA", at positions 28 to 507 of the family's 1533-position model. The record is from RNAcentral.